This 492-nucleotide ribosomal RNA is filed under the name uncultured bacterium. RNAcentral describes it as "partial 16S ribosomal RNA". It matches the Rfam family "Bacterial small subunit ribosomal RNA", at positions 29 to 507 of the family's 1533-position model. The record is from RNAcentral.
AGUGAACGCUGGCGGUAGGCCUAACACAUGCAAGUCGAACGGCAGCACAGUAAGAGCUUGCGCUUACGGGUGGCGAGUGGCGGACGGGUGAGGAAUACAUCGGAAUCUACUUUUUCGUGGGGGAUAACGUAGGGAAACUUACGCUAAUACCGCAUACGACCUACGGGUGAAAGCAGGGGAUCCUCGGACCUUGCGCGAUUGAAUGAGCCGAUGGCGGAUUAGAUAGUUGGGGGGGUAAAGGCCCACCAAGGCGACGAUCCGUAGCUGGUCUGAGAGGAUGAUUAGCCACACUGGAACUGAGACACGGUCCAGACUCCUACGGGAGGCAGCAGUGGGGAAUAUUGGACAAUGGGCGCAAGCCUGAUCCAGCCAUACCGCGUGUGUGAAGAAGGCCUUCGGGUUGUAAAGCCCUUUUUUUGGGGAAGAAGAGCAGCAGGUUAAUACCCCGCUGUUCUGACGUUACCCAAAGAAUAAGCACCGGCUAACUUCGUG